Molecule: ribosomal RNA, 497 nt
Filed under: uncultured bacterium
Lineage: Bacteria
Description: partial 16S ribosomal RNA
Rfam family: Bacterial small subunit ribosomal RNA
Source: RNAcentral
GAUGAACGCUGGCGGCGUGCCUAAUACAUGCAAGUCGAGCGAACGGACGAGAAGCUUGCUUUUCUGAUGUUAGCGGCGGACGGGUGAGUAACACGUGGAUAACCUACCUAUAAGACUGGGAUAACUUCGGGAAACCGGAGCUAAUACCGGAUAAUAUUUUGAACAGCAUGGUUCAUAAGUGAAAGACGCUCUUGCUGUCACUUAUAGAUGGAUCCGCGCUGCAUUGGCUAGUUGGUAAGGUAACGGCUUACCAAGGCAACGAUGCAUAGCCGACCUGAGAGGGUGAUCAGCCACACUGGAACUGAGACACGGUCCAGACUCCUACGGGAGGCAGCAGUAGGGAAUCUUCCGCAAUGGGCGAAAGCCUGACGGAGCAACGCCGCGUGAGUGAUGAAGGUCUUCGGAUCGUAAAACUCUGUUAUUAGGGAAGAACAUAUGUGUAAGUAACUGUGCACAUCUUGACGGUACCUAAUCAGAAAGCCACGGCUAACUACGUG